AAUGCAGUCGAACGGUAGAUUACUUUCGGGUAGUUGAGAGUGGCGAACGGGUGCGUAACGCGUAUGCAACCUACCCUAUACAGGGGGAUAGCCCGGAGAAAUCUGGAUUAAUACCCCAUGGCAUCAUUGAGCCGCAUGGUUUAAUGAUUAAAGAUUCAUCGGUAUAGGAUGGGCAUGCGUCUGAUUAGCUAGUUGGCGGUGUAACGGACCACCAAGGCUACGAUCAGUAGGGGUUCUGAGAGGAAGGUCCCCCACACUGGCACUGAGAUACGGGCCAGACUCCUACGGGAGGCAGCAGUAGGGAAUAUUGGGCAAUGGACGAGAGUCUGACCCACCCAUGCCGCGUGCAGGAAGACGGCGUUCUGCGUUGUAAACUGCUUUUAUCUGGGAAGAAAAUGCCCCUGCGGGGGAAAUUGCCGGUACCAGAUGAAUAAGCACCGGCUAACUCCGUGCCAGCAGCCGCGGUAAUACGGAGGGUGCAAGCGUUGUCCGGAUUUAUUGGGUUUAAAGGGUGCGUAGGCGGCUAUUUAAGUCAGUGGUGAAAGACUCCGGCUCAACCGGAGCAGUGCCAUUGAUACUGGAUAGCUUGAGUAUUGGAGGGGUACAUGGAAUUGAUGGUGUAGCGCUGAAAUGCAUAGAUACCAUCAGGAACACCGAUAGCG
Molecule: ribosomal RNA, 662 nt
Filed under: Algoriphagus yeomjeoni
Lineage: Bacteria; Pseudomonadati; Bacteroidota; Cytophagia; Cytophagales; Cyclobacteriaceae
Description: bacterial SSU rRNA
Rfam family: Bacterial small subunit ribosomal RNA
Source: RNAcentral